UCCGGUUUGGCACCGGCAGUCCUCCCAGAGCCCUCGACAUGACUCGCUAGCAACUGGCGGCGAGGGUUGCGCUCGUUGCGGGACUUAACCCAACACCUCACGGCACGAGCUGACGACAGCCGUGCAGCAUCUGUGCGCGCUCCCUUGCGGGUCCUCCCCGUUUCCGGGUCGUACCACGCGCAUGUCAAGCCCGGGUAAGGUUCUUCGCGUUGCGUCGUAUUAAACCACACGCUCCGCUGCUUGUGCGGGCCCCCGUCAAUUCCUUUGAGUUUUAGCCUUGCGGCCGUAGUCCCCAGGCGGCGCACUUACCGCGUUAGCUGCGGCACCGGGGGGGUCGAUACCCCCGACACCUAGUGCGCAUCGUUUACGGCGUGGACUAC
RNAcentral lists this unclassified non-coding RNA (380 nucleotides) under uncultured Chloroflexota bacterium. Its description in RNAcentral is "uncultured Chloroflexi bacterium contains 16S-23S intergenic spacer region". The record is from RNAcentral. Lineage: Bacteria; Bacillati; Chloroflexota.